Molecule: ribosomal RNA, 446 nt
Filed under: uncultured bacterium
Lineage: Bacteria
Description: partial 16S ribosomal RNA
Rfam family: Bacterial small subunit ribosomal RNA
Source: RNAcentral
CCUACGGGUGGCAGCAGUAGGGAAUUUUCGGCAAUGGGGGGAACCCUGACCGAGCAACGCCGCGUGAACGAAGAAGUCACUCGUAAUGUAAAGUUUUUUUAACAGGGAAGAAAGAGAAAUGAGACGGUACCUGAAGAAUAAGCCCCGGCUAACUACGUGCCAGCAGCCGCGGUAAUACGUAGGGAGCGAGCGUUAUCCGGAAUUAUUGGGCGUAAGGGGUGCGGAGAUGGCCUAGUAAGUCUUUGGUAAAAAUUCUGGGCUCAACCCAGUAGGGCAAAAGAUACUGCAAAGCUAGAGUGUGACAGAGGCAAGUGGAACGACAGGUGUAGCGGUGAAAUGCAUAGAUAUAUGUAAGAACCCCGGUGGCGAAGGCAGCUUACUGGGUCGAUACUGACAUUGAGGCACGAAAGCGUGGGGAGCAAACAGGAUUAGAUACCCUAGUAGUC